CCUACGGGAGGCAGCAGUGAGGAAUAUUGGUCAAUGGGCUUACGCCUGAACCAGCCAAGUCGCGUGAGGGAAGACUGCCCUAUGGGUUGUAAACCUCUUUUGUCAGGGAGCAAAUGGCGCUACGUGUAGCGUGAUCGAGAGUACCUGAAGAAAAAGCAGCGGCGAACGCCGUGCCAGCAGCCGCGGUAAUACGGAGGAUGCGAGCGUGAGCCGGAUUGCUUGGGUUUAAAGGGUGCGUCGGCGGAAUGCCAAGUCAGCGGUAAAAUCGCGGGGCUCAACCUCGCUCCGCCGUUGAAACUGGCGUUCUUGCGUGGGCGAGACGUAUGCGGCAUGCGUGGUGUAGCGGUGAAAUGCAUAGCUAUCACGC
RNAcentral lists this ribosomal RNA (367 nucleotides) under uncultured bacterium. Its description in RNAcentral is "partial 16S ribosomal RNA". It matches the Rfam family "Bacterial small subunit ribosomal RNA", at positions 338 to 702 of the family's 1533-position model. The record is from RNAcentral.